UACGUAGGGGGCAAGCGUUGUCCGGAAUCAUUGGGCGUAAAGCGCGUGUAGGCGGUUCGAUAAGUCUGCUGUGAAAGUCCAGGGCUCAACCCUGGGAUGCCGGUGGAUACUGUCGGGCUAGAGUACGGAAGAGGCGAGUGGAAUUCCCGGUGUAGCGGUGAAAUGCGCAGAUAUCGGGAGGAACACCGAUGGCGAAGGCAGGUCUCCUGGGCUGACACUGACUCUCAUGCACGAAAGCGUGGGGAGCAAACAGG
RNAcentral lists this ribosomal RNA (254 nucleotides) under uncultured bacterium. Its description in RNAcentral is "partial 16S ribosomal RNA". It matches the Rfam family "Bacterial small subunit ribosomal RNA", at positions 524 to 776 of the family's 1533-position model. The record is from RNAcentral.